Molecule: ribosomal RNA, 406 nt
Filed under: uncultured bacterium
Lineage: Bacteria
Description: partial 16S ribosomal RNA
Rfam family: Bacterial small subunit ribosomal RNA
Source: RNAcentral
AUUGAACGCUGGCGGCAGGCCUAACACAUGCAAGUCGAACGAGUGGCGGACGGGUGAGUAAUGUCUGGGAAACUGCCCGAUGGAGGGGGAUAACUACUGGAAACGGUAGCUAAUACCGCAUACCAUCGGAUGUGCCCAGCUGGGAUAAGCUAGUAGGUGGGGUAACGGCUCAACUAGGCGACGGGCCCUAGCUGGUCUGAGAGGAUGACCAGCCACGCGGGAACCGAGACACGGUCCCGACUCCUACGGGAGGCAGCAGUGGGGAAUAUUGCACAAUGGGCGCAAGCCUGAUACAGCCAUGCCGCGUGUAUGAAGAAGGCCUUCGGGUUGUAAAGUACUUUCAGCGAGGAGGCGUUACUCGCAGAAGAAGCACCGGCUAACUCCGUGCCAGCAGCCGCGGUAAUAC